UGGGGAAUAUUGGACAAUGGGCGCAAGCCUGAUCCAGCCAUGCCGCGUGAGUGAUGAAGGCCUUAGGGUUGUAAAGCUCUUUCGACGGGGACGAUAAUGACGGUACCCGUAGAAGAAGCCCCGGCUAACUUCGUGCCAGCAGCCGCGGUAAUACGAAGGGGGCUAGCGUUGCUCGGAAUCACUGGGCGUAAAGCGCACGUAGGCGGAUCUUUAAGUCAGAGGUGAAGUCCCAAGGCUCAACCUUGGAACUGCCUUUGAUACUGGGGAUCUCGAGUCCGGAAGAGGUGAGUGGAACUGCGAGUGUAGAGGUGAAAUUCGUAGAUAUUCGCAAGAACACCAGUGGCGAAGGCGGCUCACUGGUCCGGUACUGACGCUGAGGUGCGAAAGCGUGGGGGGCGAAACAGGAUUAGAUACCCUGGUAGUCCACGCCGUAAACGAUGAAUGCUAGCCGUUGGGGAGGCUUGCUCUUCAGUGGCGCAGCUAACGCUUUAAGCUAC
This 497-nucleotide ribosomal RNA is filed under the name uncultured Pseudomonadota bacterium. Its description in RNAcentral is "bacterial SSU rRNA". It matches the Rfam family "Bacterial small subunit ribosomal RNA", at positions 355 to 868 of the family's 1533-position model. The record is from RNAcentral. Lineage: Bacteria; Pseudomonadati; Pseudomonadota.